RNAcentral lists this antisense RNA (69 nucleotides) under Actinokineospora bangkokensis. RNAcentral's name for it is "ASpks TB sRNA". It matches the Rfam family "ASpks TB sRNA". Lineage: Bacteria; Bacillati; Actinomycetota; Actinomycetes; Pseudonocardiales; Pseudonocardiaceae. The record is from Rfam by way of RNAcentral.
CUUCACCGACCCCAGCAGCAGCGGGGUCCGGCGGUCCUGGCCGUAGGUGGCGAGCACGGCCUGGGCCUC